Molecule: small nuclear RNA, 107 nt
Organism: Meriones unguiculatus (Mongolian gerbil)
Lineage: Eukaryota; Metazoa; Chordata; Mammalia; Rodentia; Muridae
Source: Ensembl
GUGCUUGCUUUGGCAGCACAUAUGAUGAAAUUGGAAUGAUAUACAGAAUAUUAGCAUGGCCCUUACACAAGGAUGACAUGCAAAUACAUGAAGCAUUCCAUAUUUUU